CGAUUACGGCUCAGUAACACGUCAAUAAUCUGCCCUUAAGUCUAGGAAAACCUCGGGAAACUGAGGCUAAACCCGGAUAGGUGAGAGAUACUGGAAUGUACUCUCGCUGAAAGGUAACGCUUAAGGAUGAGUUGGCGGCCGAUUAGGCUGUUGGUAGUGUAAAGGACUACCAAACCAACAAUCGGUAGGGGCCUUGAGAGAGGUAGCCCCGAGAAGGAUACUGAGACACGUGUCCUAGCCCUACGGGGUGCAGCAGGCGCGAAAACUCUACAAUGUACGCAAGUACGAUAGGGGAAUCCCGAGUGCUCAUGUUCUGCAUGGGCUUUUGUUAAGUGUAAAAAGCUUAGCGAAUAAGUGGUGGGUAAGACUGGUGCCAGCCGCCGCGGUAACCCCAGCACCACAAGUGGCAAUCGUGUUUAUUGGGCCUAAAGCGUUCGUAGCCGGUUUAGUAAGUUCUGAGUGAAAUCGUUCUGCUUAACAGAACGGCGUGCUUGGAGUACUGCUAGACUUGAGACCGGAGAAGAGUUAGAGGUAUGUCAAGGGGGAGCGGUAAAAUGCGACUAAUCCCCGAUGGACCACC
RNAcentral lists this ribosomal RNA (580 nucleotides) under uncultured euryarchaeote. RNAcentral's name for it is "bacterial SSU rRNA". It matches the Rfam family "Archaeal small subunit ribosomal RNA", at positions 80 to 661 of the family's 1478-position model. Lineage: Archaea; Methanobacteriati; Methanobacteriota. The record is from RNAcentral.